GACAGAGGGUGCAAACGUUGUUCGGAAUUACUGGGCGUAAAGCGCGUGUAGGCAGCUCGGAAAGUCGGAUGUGAAAGCCCUAGGCUCAACCUAGGAAGUGCAUUCGAAACUUCUGAGCUUGAGUGUCGGAGAGGAAGGCGGAAUUCUCGGUGUAGAGGUGAAAUUCGUAGAUAUCGAGAGGAACACCUGUGGCGAAGGCGGCCUUCUGGACGACAACUGACGCUGAGACGCGAAAGCGUGGGGAGCAAACAGU
Molecule: ribosomal RNA, 253 nt
Filed under: uncultured prokaryote
Description: partial 16S ribosomal RNA
Rfam family: Bacterial small subunit ribosomal RNA
Source: RNAcentral